This 253-nucleotide ribosomal RNA is filed under the name uncultured bacterium. RNAcentral describes it as "partial 16S ribosomal RNA". It matches the Rfam family "Bacterial small subunit ribosomal RNA", at positions 524 to 776 of the family's 1533-position model. The record is from RNAcentral.
UACAGAGGGUGCGAGCGUUAAUCGGAAUUACUGGGCGUAAAGGGCAGGUAGGUGGAUGUUUAAGAGAGAUGUGAAAUCCCUGGGCUUAACCCAGGACGUGCAUCUGAGACUGGACAUCUAGAGUAUAGGAGAGGAGAGUGGAAUUUCCGGUGUAGCAGUGAAAUGCGUAGAUAUCGGAAGGAACACCAGUGGCGAAGGCGGCUCUCUGGCCUAAUACUGACACUGAACUGCGAAAGCGUGGGGAGCAAACAGG